GCAAUAAAGCCAAACUUUCAAUUUUUGAAAAAUUAAAUUAGACAAUAGGAAUAUUUCAAGUUUUCACCUUUUGGUUUGGGUCUGAAGCUUUAAAGUGGCAUCCUGAAAAGAAAACCAGAUGCUUUAAUACCAGCUGCUAAACUAAUAGAAGAUUAUGGUUUUACCAUAAUUAGAGAGAGACCCAUUCAAGGCAAACAGAUUAGUAUUUCAUUCAGAAAAGCCCCAAAUCCAAUACAAUAUGGUCUUAGUUAUCCCUUCCCCACAUCUGCCAUCAUAGAUUUUCCUCCAAAAGCUCAUCCCUUUUCCCCAGUUGGAGCUUUU
This 321-nucleotide unclassified non-coding RNA is filed under the name Hevea brasiliensis (rubber tree). Lineage: Eukaryota; Viridiplantae; Streptophyta; Magnoliopsida; Malpighiales; Euphorbiaceae. The record is from RNAcentral.